Pelobates fuscus (common spadefoot toad) is the source of this 653-nucleotide long non-coding RNA. RefSeq lists it as uncharacterized. Lineage: Eukaryota; Metazoa; Chordata; Amphibia; Anura; Pelobatidae. The record is from RefSeq and is a predicted model, not a curated record. The transcript is spliced from 3 exons.
UCAAUGAGUAGAUUGUACUAAUGGGAUGAAACUAAUCCUGAACAGUUAUCUGUGUUAAAGGUGUCAUCUCAACUGCAGCCUACAUGUGUUCAGUGCUAUGGUACAAUGAAUCCAAUGAUGGAUGUAAAUCAGUCGAUAAUUCCCCUACAGCCCACUGUGGAACCCAAUGCAUUAGCUCUUUCUUACUUUAUUGUACUGCUGUGAUGGUUAAUACUAUGGAAGCGGUCGAAUUCGGAGCUGAGUCCAGUCCCUGAGCGAAUGUCGGCAAUGAGGGUUGCAGGGAAACUGUGGCAGUCCGGUUGCCCUGUCUGUAUUACUAUAUGAAAAAAUAAACAUUUCCAAAGUGAGCUAAGAGUUUAUUAUCUAAACCAACGUUCCUUGGAAAGCUGGAGAUUCCUUUAUUUGGACUUAAUGCUACUUAGCUCUGCCAGCAGGCACUUACUUAUACACAAAAGCUGACAACGCAAACAGAGAAGAUUAACUACACCCCAGACUUGUGCAAUUUAAAAUUCACACGGAGAAUUGGAGACAGGCAAAGGAAUCCAACUGAGAAUAAAAACAGGAAGGCAGGAUACAGUGGACCAUAAUCAGGAAUGUCCCACCAGAUUUGAGACUGUUAGCAAGUAUGAUUAACAUUUUUUUGUUUAGGCAAU